Molecule: ribosomal RNA, 855 nt
Filed under: Streptomyces tendae
Lineage: Bacteria; Bacillati; Actinomycetota; Actinomycetes; Kitasatosporales; Streptomycetaceae
Description: bacterial SSU rRNA
Rfam family: Bacterial small subunit ribosomal RNA
Source: RNAcentral
UCGAGAGUUUGAUCCUGGCUCAGGACGAACGCUGGCGGCGUGCUUAACACAUGCAAGUCGAACGAUGAACCACUUCGGUGGGGAUUAGUGGCGAACGGGUGAGUAACACGUGGGCAAUCUGUCCUGCACUCUGGGACAAGCCCUGGAAACGGGGUCUAAUACCGGAUACUGACCCUCGCAGGCAUCUGCGAGGUUCGAAAGCUCCGGCGGUGCAGGAUGAGCCCGCGGCCUAUCAGCUUGUUGGUGAGGUAAUGGCUCACCAAGGCGACGACGGGUAGCCGGCCUGAGAGGGCGACCGGCCACACUGGGACUGAGACACGGCCCAGACUCCUACGGGAGGCAGCAGUGGGGAAUAUUGCACAAUGGGCGAAAGCCUGAUGCAGCGACGCCGCGUGAGGGAUGACGGCCUUCGGGUUGUAAACCUCUUUCAGCAGGGAAGAAGCGAAAGUGACGGUACCUGCAGAAGAAGCGCCGGCUAACUACGUGCCAGCAGCCGCGGUAAUACGUAGGGCGCAAGCGUUGUCCGGAAUUAUUGGGCGUAAAGAGCUCGUAGGCGGCUUGUCACGUCGGUUGUGAAAGCCCGGGGCUUAACCCCGGGUCUGCAGUCGAUACGGGCAGGCUAGAGUUCGGUAGGGGAGAUCGGAAUUCCUGGUGUAGCGGUGAAAUGCGCAGAUAUCAGGAGGAACACCGGUGGCGAAGGCGGAUCUCUGGGCCGAUACUGACGCUGAGGAGCGAAAGCGUGGGGAGCGAACAGGAUUAGAUACCCUGGUAGUCCACGCCGUAAACGGUGGGCACUAGGUGUGGGCAACAUUCCACGUUGUCCGUGCCGCAGCUAACGCAUUAAGUGCCCCGCCC